CGUCAGAGACUAAGCAAAUUUGAAUAGACCUCUGAGUAAAUAUUUCCCUUUUGGAGUUUUCAGGACUUUCUGUCCCGCUGUUUUAUGGGGAAGGCGGGGGAAGACACGCAGACAUCAAUUCGACUAAACAAAGUUUAUCAAUAAUAUUAAAAAUAAAAAGUAAAGCCCCUUUCUGAACAUUAUGGCUUAUUCCUUGAUUAUCCUUCUUAAUGCCACAGCGUGGCUAUCUCAGAACAAAAUUAGAGACUAACAGUAAAUUUACUUUAAUUUUUACGAAUAAUUCUCUAUCAAUGUAAAAAUUUUUCAUAUACGCGUGUAUGAAAGAAAAACACUACUAUUUUUCCACAUUCGUGAAAACUGCUUAACUGGGACAGUAACCGAGCGGCCAGUGAAUAUUUAAAAUACUGUAACCGACGAAUACGUAUGCUUCUAGGACCACGUGGAAUCUUUCCCAUGGUAGGUAAGCAAAACAAAUGUGCUUCCCAGAACCCUCCAAACUGCUCGUGGGUAUAUUACUACAGAUUACAUAAUGCAGCAGCGUUCCGGGACGCAAGCCCAGGAUUUCACCAUGUUGCCCAGGCUGGUCUCAAAACUUCUGAAUUCAAGCAGUCCGCCCGCCUCUGCCUCACGCCUGUAAUCCCAGCACUUUGGGAGGCCCAGGUGGGAAGAUCACGAGGUCAGGAGCUUGAGACCAGCCUGGCCAACAUGGGGAAACCCCAUCUCUACUAAAAAUACGAAAAUUAGCCAGGCGUGGGGGCAGGUUCCUGUAAUCCCAGCUACUCAGGAGGCUGAGGCAGGAGUAUCGCUUGAAACCGGGAAGUGGAGGUUACAGUGAGCUGAGAUCACAUCGUUGCAGUCCAGCCUGGGUGACAGAGCAAGACUCC
RNAcentral lists this long non-coding RNA (884 nucleotides) under Homo sapiens (human). RNAcentral's name for it is "HSALNT0016554". The record is from RNAcentral. Lineage: Eukaryota; Metazoa; Chordata; Mammalia; Primates; Hominidae.